Long non-coding RNA from Marmota monax (woodchuck), 631 nucleotides. RefSeq lists it as uncharacterized. The transcript has 2 exons. NCBI's taxonomy places the organism in Eukaryota, Metazoa, Chordata, Mammalia, Rodentia, Sciuridae. The record is from RefSeq and is a predicted model, not a curated record.
AGCAACUAAUUCAGACCCAUCUGAUGACCACUAGAAAGGAACAGUGCCAGCUCUUCAGGAUCUGACUCCUCCUUCCCCUUCCGGGUUCACUGGGCUGGCUUGCCUGAACUUGACCACAGAGGUACUUCGCACUUAAGAGCCACCAGGCAAUUCUCGUCAGCGUGGGUGCUGUUUCGCGAGCGUUCAGACCUUCCACUGGAAGGCUGGGGAGACAGCUGAGAGGUGUGCCCUCCAUGAGGACCUAGACUGGGACCUGCAGAACUGGGGCUCCAGGAAGAAGCUGGCUUCCAGAGAGCAAAGAUCAUGGAUUCAAUCCAAGGACUAAUCGAUAUCAGGGCCACCUGUGUGACCAGUACCCUAUUUGCUCUUCCAAAGUCCUGGAGGACCUGCCAUCUCUCCUGGGAACCAAACAACUCUGUUCAAAGAACCUCCAGCUACCCACUUUGCUGUUCAAGUCAAGUCCAAGGACUGCUACCAAAGGGGUGUCUCUGGCAAAAUCUGAUUUUAAAAAAAAGAAGAAGAAAGAGGAAAAGGAAAUCCAAAUAAGUUCCCAAGGUCUCUCUGUGCCUUGAGCUCUGCCGCCUGGUGAGAACCAUUGUGCAUCUUAAUUAAAGUAAACAGAUGCACAUAA